Molecule: ribosomal RNA, 496 nt
Filed under: uncultured bacterium
Lineage: Bacteria
Description: partial 16S ribosomal RNA
Rfam family: Bacterial small subunit ribosomal RNA
Source: RNAcentral
AUGCACGCUGGCGGCGUGCCUAAUACGUGCAAGUCGAGCGAACAGACGAGGAGCUUGCUCCUUUGACGUUAGCGGCGGACGGGUGAGUAACACGUAGGUAACCUACCUAUAAGACUGGGAUAACUUCGGGAAACCGGAGCUAAUACCGGAUAAUAUUUCGAACCGCAUGGUUCGAUAGUGAAAGAUGGCUUUGCUAUCACUUAUAGAUGGACCUGCGCCGUAUUAGCUAGUUGGUAAGGUAACGGCUUACCAAGGCAACGAUACGUAGCCGACCUGAGAGGGUGAUCGGCCACACUGGAACUGAGACACGGUCCAGACUCCUACGGGAGGCAGCAGUAGGGAAUCUUCCGCAAUGGGCGAAAGCCUGACGGAGCAACGCCGCGUGAGUGAUGAAGGUCUUCGGAUCGUAAAACUCUGUUAUUAGGGAAGAACAAACGUGUAAGUAACUGUGCACGUCUUGACGGUACCUAAUCAGAAAGCCACGGCUAACUACGUG